CGGCUAACCAGUCUCCAAGCAAGCAAACCCUAAAUACAGAUAUAUUUUUCAAACUGACAUAAAGGCUCAGAUCUGUUUUUAGGUCGGGCGAAAAGAGAGUCCAGCAAUGCCAUGGAUGCAAAAACAACCAGAAAAUCUGGGAGCAUGCUCUGUCAAGAUACGGGUCAGAUAAUCUCAAAUGCCCGGUUAAUCAGUUCAAAGGGGAUGAAAAUUCAACAAAAUCAUCAUUGCCUUUUACAAACUAUUGAUGAUACUCGCCACGUACACCGCCAAAAUUCAAUGGUCCAGCAGAAGCAUUUACAAAAGAGAGAAUAGAUGGCAUUAGCAUGCAUAGCAUGAAAGGAUAUGAAACCCUUAAUAGUACUCCCUCAGUAAGAUUGAUAAAAAGGCUGUUGAGAUUCUUACAUUGAUUGGACUCACCACCAUCGUUUCUACCAGUCCCACCAGCAGCAUUCAAUGCUCCAG
RNAcentral lists this unclassified non-coding RNA (465 nucleotides) under Hevea brasiliensis (rubber tree). Lineage: Eukaryota; Viridiplantae; Streptophyta; Magnoliopsida; Malpighiales; Euphorbiaceae. The record is from RNAcentral.